This 460-nucleotide ribosomal RNA is filed under the name uncultured bacterium. RNAcentral describes it as "partial 16S ribosomal RNA". It matches the Rfam family "Bacterial small subunit ribosomal RNA", at positions 338 to 795 of the family's 1533-position model. The record is from RNAcentral.
CCUACGUGUGGCAGCAGUGAGGAAUAUUGGUCAAUGGGCGCGAGCCUGAACCAGCCAAGUAGCGUGAAGGAUGACUGCCCUACGGGUUGUAAACUUCUUUUAUAAAGGAAUAAAGUGAGGCACGUGCGCCUUUUUGUAUGUACUUUAUGAAGAAGGAUCGGCUAACUCCGUGCCAGCAGCCGCGGUAAUACGGAGGAUCCGAGGGUUAUCCGGAUUUAUUGGGUUUAAAGGGAGCGUAGAUGGGUUGUUAAGUCAGUUGUGAAAGUUUGCGGCUCAACCGUAAAAUUGCAAUUGAUACUGGCAGUCUUGAGUACAGGUGAGGUAGGCGGAAUUCGUGGUGUAGCGGUGAAAUGCUUAGAUAUCACGAAGAACUCCGAUUGCGAAGGCAGCUUACUAAACUGCCACUGACAUUGAUGCUCGAAAGUGUGGGUAUCAAACAGGAUUAGAUACCCGAGUAGUC